GGCCGCUUGGCCCAAUGGUAAGGCGUCUGACUACGAUCGAACAUAUACGUAAAACAUGAUCGAAAGCAAUCAGGAGAUUCUGGGUUCGAGCCCCAGGGUGGUCA
Daldinia grandis is the source of this 104-nucleotide non-coding RNA. Lineage: Eukaryota; Fungi; Ascomycota; Sordariomycetes; Xylariales; Hypoxylaceae. The record is from the annotation of a GenBank genome assembly.